GGACUACUGGGGUUUCUAAUCCUGUUUGAUCCCCACACUUUCGUGCAUCAGCGUCAGUUACAGCCCAGUAAGCUGCCUUCGCUAUCGGUGUUCUUGACGAUAUCUAUGCAUUUCACCGCUACACCGUCAAUUCCGCCUACCUCAUCUGUACUCAAGCCCUGCAGUAUCAAUGCCACCACCCCAGUUAAGCUGGGGGAUUUCAGCACUGACUUACAGGGCCGCCUACGCACCCUUUAAACCCAAUAAAUCCGGACAACGCUUGCCACCUACGUAUUACCGCGGCUGCUGGCAC
Molecule: ribosomal RNA, 292 nt
Filed under: uncultured Bacteroidota bacterium
Lineage: Bacteria; Pseudomonadati; Bacteroidota
Description: uncultured Bacteroidetes bacterium partial 16S ribosomal RNA
Source: RNAcentral